AUGAUGCAAGAGCAAUAUCAGAUGUCCAUGAUGGGUGAGCUGAAAUUCUUCCUAGGUCUUCAAAUCCGUCAGCAAAGCAAUGGCAUCUUCAUAUCACAAGAAAAGUACCUCAAAGAUUGCCUGAAGAAGUUUGGAAUGCAAGACUGCAAAGGAUACACGACGCCAAUGCCAACCAAAAGUCAUUUGGGUCCCGAUGACAAUGGUAAAGAGUUCAAUCAAAAGGUAUACUGCUCCAUGAUUGGUUCUUUACACUAUUUGUGUGCAUCUAGGCCAGAUAAAAUGCUUAGCGUUUGCAUGUGUGCCCGAUUCCAAGCAUCACCAAAGGACUCGCAUCACUUAGUUGUGAAGCAAAUUCUUUGA
RNAcentral lists this ribosomal RNA (360 nucleotides) under Triticum aestivum (bread wheat). RNAcentral's name for it is "partial small subunit ribosomal RNA". The record is from RNAcentral. Lineage: Eukaryota; Viridiplantae; Streptophyta; Magnoliopsida; Poales; Poaceae.